GUUGAUUAUACAAAUACAAAAAUGAUAUACAGCAGAAUCAACAGCACAUAAAGGUAAGUGAGCAACAGCACAAGCAAUCAUUAAACAUUCACAUGCAUUGGUUUCAACUACAGGUCCUCACAGAUGUGAUUGGAUUGCAUCCUUAUUCAGACAGGGAGAAUUUUGCUCUGAUUCAAGAGCAGAUGACAGAGCACUCUGACCUUGUGGAGACCAGAAUGAAAAAAGAGAAGAAGGAAAGGGAGGAGAAAGGUCAAACCGGUUUCUCAGAGGAGCAGAGAAGACAAGAGGAGUACUGUCUAUUGGCAGAGCUUGCCCGCAUUGAGCAGGAGCUCAGAGAAAAGUCUCGCAAAGAGCUGGAGAGACAGGAGGCCCUGGAGAGAGCGCGCAGUGAGGCGAACCGUGACAGGUGGAGGAACCUCAGCUAUAUGGCCCUCAGCCAACGCGUGAACAAGUACGUUCCCAUCCGAACGCAGGUACAUUCAGUGGCAGACUCUGCAAUGUUUGUCUUCUCUGGAAUGUUCUUUGAAAAUUCUUAGGAUUUUUUUUCCCCCCUGUAGUCAAGGGAUUUGGUAACUAUACAAAAGAAGAUCCCCACAAUUAUUCUACAAAAUCCUUUGUGUCGUUUUGUUUUUGCAGGCCAUGGGUGUUCAGUUAUUUUAAGAACAUUCCCAUGCACAUUUACUGCCAGCCUAUCAGAAGACCGCCCCAGGUCCGACACCGCAAGAAGUGGCGAUAAUCAGUGUAGCCUGGACAGAGCGCUGAGCUGUCCUGCUGCUGGCUGAGGACAUGGCUGUGUGCAUCUUCAUCAGAACGGUUAUGGCCCUUUUCAAACCUGUUUGCACUCUAAAACAAAGUAGCAUUAGAAGGUUCUGCUUACUAGAAUCUUAAAAAAGUCAGAACAGACCCUCAUUUGCUUGAAUAUUGAAAAUCAUAUAAAUAGACCUAAAAUUGUGAGUCUUUAAUUUUGUGCCAUUUCCAGCUCACUGUAGUCAUUUUAUAUAUUUUUUU
Molecule: long non-coding RNA, 1008 nt
Filed under: Lepisosteus oculatus (spotted gar)
Lineage: Eukaryota; Metazoa; Chordata; Actinopteri; Semionotiformes; Lepisosteidae
Description: lncRNA (ENSLOCG00000021731.1)
Source: RNAcentral